Molecule: long non-coding RNA, 3123 nt
Filed under: Homo sapiens (human)
Lineage: Eukaryota; Metazoa; Chordata; Mammalia; Primates; Hominidae
Description: uncharacterized LOC102724542, transcript variant 19 (LOC102724542)
Source: RNAcentral
GCAGCUGCCGGACACCAGGAGACGAUGGAAGGUCUAUAGUGUUACAGCUCUGACCCAGGAAGUCCCAGGGUCUUGCCUUCCAGAAGGGUCGCGGCUCUUCCCUCCCUCAGUCCAACGAACAGGAGCACGUCACCUCCCGCAGCUCGGGGAGCUGGCCAGGAACGUGUUACAGCCCGUUUCGCUCCUGUCCGCAGCUGGGUGAGGCAGCCAGGAAAAUAUUACAGCUCUUCUCACGCCCGCCAUUCAGCAGGUCCUGACUUCUUGUGUGACAUCCAGAAGAAAGGGGUUACACAGACAGCUGGAGGGUGAGCAAAGUGGAGAAGUUCUCAGCAGAGAGGAGACUGGAGUGAGUUGCCCCUACCCGCAGGUGCCAACUGUAAUACAUCAGUAGCUGAACAGCUCAUUGCCCUCAAGUGUUCUUGCUCAUGCCUGGCUGAGUUAUUGAAGAAAUUGCUCAGAUCUCAAGCCCUUGUAGAUCACUGGUCCUGGCAGAUGUUAUGAGAAAUAAAGAAAACAAGAAAAGCAAGGGAAAGGAGAGAAAAAAGGAGGGAUACAGCAAGAGGGAGAAAGAAAAGGACGAGAAAAUAAAUUACUAAAGGGAGAAAAGAAAAAGAAAAAAGAAAAAGCAGAGAAGAAGUUAAUCCCCUGGUGAAUUUUUCACAGGCUAUCUGGAACUCAAAAGUUCAAUCUUUAUCCAUCUAUCACUAAGUCAACUUCUGGAACCUCUUCUUCUAGAACCAGUUAGGGAAGCCACUGAAGGAGGGUUAUAGGACAAAAUAUAUGUUGGUGUGAACUUUAAAAAAAGAAUUUGUGUUUAAGGAUGAAACUGUAAUGGUUUUGAAAUUGCACUAACCACAUUUGAUUUGAGCUGAAUCAAAAGUAGAAAAAUCAGCAAAUUCUACAUAAAAAACUAAGGAAGAGGAAGAAGAUCCAACUUAGAAAAUCCAGUGGAAUAAUAAUUCCAUUAGUAAGAUAACGAUACAGAGAGAUGAUGACACUGGAGUUUUCAGAGAGCAUUGAGGCAAUAUGUAGCUAUGGAAUUUGAAAAAAAAAAUGGUUCAUUUUUGGAAGAUUACUACAACAGUCAUGUUAGAUUAAUUGAAAUGAAGGUUGGUGUUAUAAGGCUUUAAAAAUAGUCCAACUGGAAAUACGAAAGCUUGAAAAGCAGCUUUGAAAAACAAAGACAGAGGGGAAAGGGAUGAAGAGAAAUACAACUGAGAUUUAAGAUAUAAAAUAACUGAAAUCUGGAACUAAUCAACUGUGAAAAUCAAGCAACGAGAAAGAGUUGUAAAUUAUUUUAAAAUAUCUGGCUCGAUCAACUUUGCCAGUUUUAGAGCCAGUCUUUGCAAAAAGGGAGAAACAAAACAGAUGAGACAAGAAAGGAACAUCCAGCAUGCUGUGAACCCCCUGAGACUGGCCAUGAUCUGAAAGAGUAAAGCUCUAUCCAGGGAACCUUUUCUGAAUCAUAGUGUCAGACUUCCUGCUCUUUUCAACUCCCCUGGUUUUAUCAUCUCUACUCUGUUUCAGCAAUCUACUGCCAUGGCCACAUCCUGAAUGUUGACAAUACCCUAAACUGUGCCAUUUAUAAGAUCUCUGACACACCAACCUCUCUCCUCUUACAGCUCUCAAUGAUGUAUAUGACCUCAGCUUAUUCUAAUAUGCUUACAGAUUAUACACCCGUGAUAUUGAUGGCAGUGGCUGCUGCUGUCGUGGCUGCUGCUAUCACGCCUGCUGCAACACAGAGGUGCGACUGGGGCUGCACAUUUCACGGAGGUGUUGGGAGUUCCGCCCCUUCUGAUGUGGGGAAAGAGAUCCCCAGGUGCCCCUGCAUCUGCCCAAACUGUGGCUGUGGAUCGGAGGCUCCAGGUUGGCAGGUUGGGAGCUUCCGGGUGCAGCUGCGACCGCCCUCCCAGGUGCAGGACCCUGGUGUUUCUGCAGCCUGCACCCUUGGGGGCCCCAGGAAAGACCCAUAUCCUUGCAGGCUUGGAGGUGUUUGCUUCUUCUGCCUGGCCUCUCUCGGCUCCCGGUGCAUGCUCUCAUAUCUGAGUGGGGGUUGGUGCUGAGCCCCGGGGCCGUGAAUUGCAGCAGGAGGCAGAUUUAUUCCUGGGCAGAAGGUGGCAGAUCCCAAGUAAGGGGACCUUCAAGCCAGGGAGGGCCUGAAGGCUGGUGGCUGGGCUACCAGUCCCACCGACCAGAGUGGGGAUUCGUGGGCCUCUUCUGGGCCACCCAUAGCCACCCAUGGACCAAUCAGCAAGCACAUCCUCCCCUCUGAGGUCCGUAAAAGCCCUGGGCGCAGCCUGAGCAGGGCAGAGGAAGGCCAGAGGUGAAGGAGUCAGAGAGGCGACAGGAUAGGCAGCUGCCGAGAGAAGUACGCCUCUCUGCUGAGACCUGGAGAUGACGGGAAGGCCAGAUGCAGAGAGGAGCUACCCUCUCUGCUUAGAGCUGCCAGGAGGAGCUACCAACCUUCUCUGCUGAGAGCUGCAGAGAUGACCUGCUGGCAGAGAGGAGCUACCCACUGCGGGUCUCCUCUGAUCUGUUGUAAUGCUGAAUAAAGCUUCUUUUCAUCUUGUUCACCUUCCACUUGUCUGCAUACCUCAUUCUACCCGGACGCAAGCAAGAACUCGAGCAAAGGCACAACCAGCCACAGAGGUUUCUGGCCAGAAAAUCGACACCCCAAAAGUCCUAUAACAAUCUGAUUCUAAAAGCAACAUCAUCUUUUCAAUGUAAUUCUAAAAGAAUUUGGGAUUAUUUUAUUUAAUUUCAGGAUCCCCUCUGAAGAAAAUCAACUUACAAAGGAUGGCAGGUCUUAAGAAAGGUACUUAGCAAGUGCUGGUACAUUCUAAGCAAUCAAUAUUUGUCAAUGUUCAGUAAUUGUACAAUUGUACUAGAGAAAACAAUUCCAGGGGCUUAAAAUUAUCUUAUACAAGGAUCCACUUUAUUAUUAUUUUUUCUGUUUGUUUUGGAUAAAUUACUGACUCCUUAUCUCAGUUAUGUUAUGUGUUAAAUGUUUACAGUGUUAUUUUGUAUCUCUCAAGGGCUUUUGUUAGAAUUUUCAAUGAGAUACCUUAAAACCUCUAAAAAGAAAAUGGAUGUUAUAAGUAAAUAAAAAUAAGUCUGAAUGGC